UUUCCACAUAAGCUGAUCAAAUGAAAUAAUUCGUCAACGUUCUGAGAUACAAGUUUGUCCACCAAAGAAACAAAACAUUGCUAGUCAGCAAACCAAGCUGCAGCACCUGUGGUUGUUCAAGCAAAAUCAGGUACCCGUGAAACCAGCCACAGAGACAAAGCAGAUGCCCAAACCGCUGAAGGUAGAAACACGCUUACUCAUAAUCUAGAGGCAUUUUGUGGUCAUUUAGUGUUCAUCCUUCCAUGGCAAGGUCCAAAGCAACGAAGGUACUUGCAACUUGAUAUUUGGAAGCUCGCCAUGUAUCUGGCUCCUUUUUUUGCGAUCGCAAAAAAAUCAAUCUCUAGGAGAGUAUUAACACAUAUCACUGAUAAUGAACAUAACUCUGCAAAGAAAAAGGAAAAAAUGAGAAGGAGAUUAAUAAACGUAGCUGUACAUAUGCUACAUAAAUUUCCAUCUAAUAUUCUCACCUUGGUCCCGGUCUGCAGUAUGUCGUCUUGCCCAUCCAGCCUGAACUGAUAGAGAAAGUUCCAUGUGGCACUUUAUUUGUGAGGAUAUAACAUGAGUCAACAACAAAUUUAUCAUUGUUAUUCAUGGCAAGAUAAUAGAUCAUUCAUAAAUAUAUAUUUUGUUGGAUGUUGAUUACUGGAAAGUAAUACCAAUAUGGGCUUACAAAUUUGGGCAUGCUUCUUUUCACCGACGACACCUAUUAGCAGAGGUAAAUCAUAAUAUUAUAGACAUAUGUUACUAAUAGAAAAUACUACUUUUCCUUUUAUAUUACUUAAAUUAGAACAAUCAAUUUCUUCCAUGUCCCGAAACUUCUCAUUGAGCCUCUCCAUUUAACUCAGCAAUUUUGGGUUAUGGUAAAAUCAUGGGUUUUCAACAAAAUAAAAACAAACAAGACCAAUAAGAAAGAAAACUUAAGAAUUCAAGCCUAUCAGACAAUCAUGCACCUCCGGUGGCAUGUCGACAAUCAGACAUACCAAAACCUUUAGUCCUAAUUUUUCCCCAAUACAAUGUGCGAAACAACAAAUAAUAACCUUGUGUGUGUGUGAAACAACAAAUAAUAACCUUCAUGCCAGCAAUGCAUAUUAAUAUUAGAAGAUCAAAAUGUGUUUCACUGUGUAACAUUUCCAUUGCAUGUACAUAACAUGCUAUGCAUCAAAUCCCCCUGCACAAGAUUCCUCUAUCAUGGCCACACUCGUAUCCAGUGGUGGUGGAGUAGCCUAGGACGUGAAGCAGGGAAAGGGGCACAACAUACCGGUGCGGCCGGCGACGGCGGAGACACAACGGACUGCUCGGCCUCCUCGUCCCCACAAUGCUUUAACUAUCUUGGAUAUCUUUCAAAAAGAAUGCCAAUGAGGGCGUCAGUUGCUACAAAUUCAUGACUUCAAAGAAACACAAAUAACCCAUUAGAUGGUUCAGUACAAAUCAUUUCUUCACUUGCAGUACCAUGUAAAACAUUGAAUAGGUAUGCAUCACUCAUCAUUUCAAAAAGACUUCGAACAAAAACAUUCAACACCUCUGACUCCACAAAGACUUAAGAAAUUAGGGUGCCUAAAUCUUUAUGCAGAACUGGGUACAUCUUACUUAUUAGUUAGCCAACCACCGUAUCCAAGUGGCCCAAUUACGUGAAUACAAUCAGUAUCAAUCAUAAGUAUGAAACAUGAAACUUUCUGAAAUGAUCAGUACUUAUUAGGUCUCAAACUAUACAUAUAGAAACUUGAGACUGCAGACAUGAACGGUCGACUCUGAAACUCCACUCAAAUCACCACAUUAUCUAAGCAUGCUCAGUUAGCAACAGUAAAACAAAUUACAGAAUCUGAAACCUCACACAUUAUUUAGAGAGUACCUUAUUUUCUGUUCUUGCUACACUGGAAUCAAUGUACACUCUGAAUGAAAAAUAACAAACACUUGAUUGAUAUGGUCAUCAUAUAUGAAAUAAGACAGUAUGUGACAAACUAUAUAAAGCCGUAGAUUUUGAUGUACUACUAAUAUUUGGUCAUCCAAACUCAUAUAAUAGUUCCUCACCUGCAAAUCCUCCAGUAGUUGUGCUGACAUAUGAAACAUCUUCUUGAUCUCCCUAAGCUGAAUUCUAUGAUAGCACAGAGCUGAACUCGAAAAAUAAAAUCACACCGUAGGACAUCUACAGGCUAUUUUUACAUGAAAUGAGACUCGAAAACACAUACAAAGGAAAAGGGGACACCUGUUUAAAUAAGCCAUUGAAAGCAGGCUACACAGAGCUCGACAUAUCGCCUUGCGAACCUAGCUCAAUAUCAGCAUUUCUUCGGGCCCAAUCCUCUUUG
RNAcentral lists this long non-coding RNA (2303 nucleotides) under Triticum aestivum (bread wheat). RNAcentral's name for it is "long non-coding RNA (TAES_LNC010628)". Lineage: Eukaryota; Viridiplantae; Streptophyta; Magnoliopsida; Poales; Poaceae. The record is from RNAcentral.